GAUGAACGCUGGCGGCGUGCCUAAUACAUGCCAGUAGAACGCUGAAGGAAGGAGCUUGCUCUUUCCGGAUGAGUUGCGAACGGGCGAGUAACGCGUAGGUAACCUGCUAGGUAGCGGGGGAUAACUACUGGAAACGAUAGCUAAUACUGCAUAACAGUAGCUGUUGCAUGAUACCUACUAAAAAGGUGCAUUUGCACCACUACCAGAUGGACCUGUGUUGGAUUAGCUAGUUGGUGAGGUAACGGCUCACCAAGGCGACGAUACAUAGCCGACCUGAGAGGAUGAUCGGCCACACUGGAACUGAGACACGGCCCAGACUCCUACGGGAGGCAGCAGUGGGGAAUUUUGGACAAUGGGCGGAAGCCUGACCGAGCAAUACCGCGUGGGUGAAGAAGGUUUUCGGGUUGUAAAGCCCUUUUGUAGGGAAAGAAAAGCAGGAGGGUAAGAAACUGCUGCUUUGACGGUAACCUAAGAAGAAGGGACGGCUAACUUCGUG
This 496-nucleotide ribosomal RNA is filed under the name uncultured bacterium. RNAcentral describes it as "partial 16S ribosomal RNA". It matches the Rfam family "Bacterial small subunit ribosomal RNA", at positions 28 to 507 of the family's 1533-position model. The record is from RNAcentral.